RNAcentral lists this ribosomal RNA (252 nucleotides) under uncultured bacterium. Its description in RNAcentral is "partial 16S ribosomal RNA". It matches the Rfam family "Bacterial small subunit ribosomal RNA", at positions 524 to 776 of the family's 1533-position model. The record is from RNAcentral.
GACGUAGGAGGCGAGCGUUGUCCGGAUUCAUUGGGCGUAAAGAGCACGCAGGCGGUUUGGCAAGUCGGAUGUGAAAACCCGGAGCUCAACUCCGGACCUGCAUCCGAAACUGCCCGACUAGAGGUAGGUAGGGGAGAUCGGAAUUCCUGGUGUAGCGGUGAAAUGCGCAGAUAUCGGGAGGAACACCAGUGGCGAAGGCGGCUCGCUGGACCGGUUCUGACGCUGAGGCGCGAAAGCGUGGGAGCAAACGGG